AUGUCUCGUUAUCAUGUGGAUGGUUUUUUUAAAUCUUUUAUCUUUAUUAUGUUUAGCGUACUCAUGAAUUACAAUGUUCAACUGACAGCUGUAAAUGGCAUCGUAUCAGAAGUCAUUCAAAUAGCAUAUAGGUAUGCAACAACAGUGACUAAAGAGUAAACUUUAUAUUAUUUUAUAAUUUUGAUGAAUUAUUUUAUUUUUAAUCGAUCAGGAUCGAUAGUACUAUGAUUUAUGAAAUUGAGGUAAGCUGUAACGGCUUUUACAGAAUAUUUGAGUGGUCCAGAUUCGAGUGACGGUUUCACUGGAACGAGCGCUCGACUAGACGUAAUUCAUGUUUUGUGUGAGUGCCCCGACAGUUGUUGUUAAUUGAGUACACGAUUAAUACGUACACAUUUUCUUGGACGUGAAAUGAAAAAAAAAGAGGAAGUGAAUAACACACGACCAUAAUUUACAAUGAUUUUGAGCCCAGCGACAAGUUUGAGUUCACAGGUAUAGUAAUCAAGUUUGCGCAUCAGACCGUAUAUUAUAUCCGGACUGGGAGACGUCACCAAUUUACGGGAUUUAUAGGGCCAAUUUAUUUGGAUCACUUAUGAAAAACCGAGUUCCAUUUACACGGUUUCAUAUUGCUGUGGCAAAGAAAAAAACUGACGAAGUUUUUCUUCAAACGUUACCUGGGAAAAUGUUUAAUAUUUCUAAAAAUUCGGACCAUUUCACUAUGUAGAUACAUUAUAUUAUUAUACACAACUACGUACAAUUUACCCUAAAAGUCUUCAUAGUUAUAUGUAUUGUAUAUCGUUAAUUAUUGCAUGUCCAAUUUGUAUUUCAUAAAAAACGCGAUGCAAUUUUAGGCUUAUAUUUGUAUGACGUGUAAGUGAAUACACUUACAUUACAGAUGACAAUUUCUUGAAAUAUGUUUUGAAUUAUGUGGUUAUCAUACGAUUUACACGGCAGUUAAAAGUAAGGGAAUGAUACAGUCAUGUAGGAAAUGCGGAAAAUCCAAUCGCGGUUGCAUAAUAAUAAUAGUAAUAAUAAUAAUAAUAAUCAUGUGGUGGUGGUGGUUACAGCUUUAAGUUGGUUUCGCCCGCAAUACCUCGGUGUGGUUUAAAAUGAUAACAUAUAUAACAAUAUAUUACGGUGUACAAAUAAUGUACUUCGUUGGAAUUUCAUAUGACUGUGUCGUGGUGUGAAUUACAAUACGAACACGUAAUACUUUUCUGUUUGUAAUAAUCACGAGAAUCUACGGAGAAUAAUAAUUACUAAAUCUCCCGGGUUUGUUCGAUUUGUCGUCACGAAAGAUAUCAUAUAAUGUUAUUGUUAUUCGACUCACCAUUUUUCACGGUUUGUUAUAAAAGUUCACUCGGUAUAACGAUAAUUUACUUCAAUCAGAUCAUUAUAAUAUGUUAAAUAAAUAAUAUUAUAUUAUGACGCCGUCGUUAAACCACUCGGAUCUAGUGAUAUUCGAGACCGAUGUCUAGACUCUGGCCGAAUAGAAUGCCGCGGUGAAGGUUUUGUACGGGCUCGGAUAAUUGAUGCCUUUACGGAUGGAGUAAUAUCAUGAUUGCGAUUAAGCACAGUCGUCGAUCGUUGUGGUGCCGGGUAAACAAAUUGUGCAGACCAUGUUUUGCAGAUAAUAAAAGACAGUUGGCUUCGCUCGAGUGUCCGUCGUUAUUCGCCGGCGUAAGGGUAGGUGCUGUUAAAAACCAAUAAAACUUGGUGUACAACAAUAGCUACACGUUUCGCUCGUUACUUAUUUCAUUUU
This is a long non-coding RNA of Rhopalosiphum maidis (corn leaf aphid), 1759 nucleotides long. RefSeq lists it as uncharacterized. NCBI's taxonomy places the organism in Eukaryota, Metazoa, Arthropoda, Insecta, Hemiptera, Aphididae. The record is from RefSeq and is a predicted model, not a curated record. The transcript has 3 exons.